AUGCUGCUUCCAUCCACAGGAGUCUUUGGGCAGGUAUCACAGAAUGGGUGAACAGCAGGGAAACUCGUGGGCUUGGCUUUAAGGCUAUUAGAUUUGUGUGAGAAUAAAGCUUCCUAGUGAGCUGUUUGGCUGUAAAAAGUCAUCUAUCUGCUUAUCGUCAUUAUUUUUAUUUAGACACAUUGCCUGUCAGCUCAGAUUUAUGUGGCUUAAAGUGUUGUGAUCCCAUGACACAUCAAUAUACAUUUGGGGGAGAAGCUUGUGGGGCUGGUCAGAGCCCUGAGAGUGGACGAGCUUUCGUGGGGAGAACAGAUGAGCAGAGAGAAAGAGACCCAAGCUAGAGCCUGAGGGAUUCGCGCAGCUCACAAAUGGAGAAGUGGGAAAUGUGCAGUAAACACACGGUGCUUGUAAAAGCAGACUGAGUUUAUAUUUGGAAGGAUUUACAACAAGAGGAUAGAAGUGCUGGACAACUUCACCCAACAACUGGAAACUUGAGAAGGGCUAUAUUGAGCAUGAAUUUAGCCCGUGGAAGAGCCAUUUGUACACAUCUGUGUUAAUAGAAAGGAAAGAAAAGGGAAGACAUGCUGAUUCCAAAAAUGUGCAAAUAAGCAAAAUGUCUAGCUUUGUAGCCCAAGUCUCUCUGUCUCUCUCAGAAGCCAAGGAAUGAUUAAAGUGUACCGGCAAGUGCAUUCAGAUGCUGCUAGGAGGAUAUGGCCUUAUUCUUGGUACUGCUGACUUACUAAGAAUACCCACUUCAGGGAGCUUUGCCAGUGUGAAGCCAAAGUUUUCUUGGAGCCCAAGAUCUGUGUUCACAGCUUGUGACUCAGGAAUUGCAUUUGCCCCAGAGGAAACACUCAUCUGACUCUCUGAAAAAACUCCAAUUCACUGGGUGUCAUCUGGCCUGAGAGAAGGGGCCCCUCUCCAGAUCCAGGUGGCAGCAUCUGUCUCACUGUCUCCCCUGGAAUGGCCACACCACCCGUGUGAACGUGGAUCUAGGAGGGAAAUUGUGAGGGAGCAUUGCGACUGCCACUUGGUGAGAACAGAAGCCACCGCCCUGAGGCUACUUGGAACUCUGAACCUCAGAAUCCGUGAUCACGCUUGGCGACUCGUGUUGGGGCCACCCUCACAUAUGGUCUACCUGCUGCUGUGCACAUUCUUGUAGUGCCUUCCUGGGAACAAGAACAAGAAUUCUUCUCAGGUCAUGAGAUUAUUUUCCAAACUGGAGGCUGAUCCAUUAAUAGAUCGUUAGAUCAAUUGGGACCUCAGGCAUCACCAGGACGUGUUGGAUUUUGUUGCACAAGUCGUAUCGCUGUGUAGCUAUGUCACCUUUGCCAGGAGGAGGUGGGGGGAGCUGGCCUUGGAUCCUCAACCACCACUUCAAAGUCACGACAGUGAAGCAGGGAAGAGCAAAACGUGAGUUGCUGAAGAGGAGGCACUGCUGUUCACAGCGUGACCUGCAGCUCUGGGGGUGACACCUGGUGCGGAGCAGGAGCUCAAGUCCAGGACUUCUCAUUGGUCAAUGUUCAGUAUACGAAUAUGAGGUCCUGCCCUGGUGAUGACGGUGGUCCCUCGUGAGCCCAUUCUUAUCCUUAUCUGACUAAGUGAUAAAAGUGUAUAAAACAUGCCAGUGGUGGAGUCAUGGCUGGAGGUGCCAUGCCUAACUCAGCAUCAGCACCUUGGGGUUUCUCGUUACCAUUUGAAGAGUUUGGGGGACUCAUAAUAUACGGAUUCUGUGCCAGAUGCCAGGUUGCUUUGGAUUUCACCACUAAAAUUUGGUCUGGAUGUAGAAGAGUGGCCAAAUUCAGAAACUCAUUUACAAGUGCACUUUUCAAAAGCAUCUUGACUUGGGGAGCAGGAGACUGGUACCCAAUCAGCACCAGCGUUCAGCGAGAUCAAGUUGGAUGUAUUCUGGUGUCGGUCCUGAAUGAGCAGGACAUCUCCCUCCUGUCACAAUCCACCCUCCUCGGGCUUGGGUUUCUGCAAAGACUAGUCUGCUCUUGGAUCUCAACCAAGAGCAUGACCCCCAAUGCACAUGCAUUCAAAGUGAUCCACUCAAAUAGAUUUUAAAAGUACAAAGUCAUCCAAUUCUUUCUAAAAACUCAAUGGUCUCAGCUGCCUAGUUGAAAAUAUGCUUUAUUUGUGUCAAACUAGUGUUUCUUAUGCAUUCUCCUGUGUCCUUGUAAGGGCACCACCAACUUGAACCAAGAGAAGUCCCACAAGUGAGGGUGGAAGACUUGCUGAGAGCUGAAGCCCCUUGGAGACAGGCGCUGGCGGGGCUCCAUUCCCCAGCGCCUGCUUUCAUCCAGAUGGCAGUUUGUCCUCAAUGUAAUCCAACAGGACACGUCCAAUUCCCUUUCUCCACCCCUGAGCUUUUCCAGGGGAAAAUGUGAUUCUGCCCUGCUUUUAGCAAAUUAAUGUUCCUGUGCUUUUGCUUUGCUAGUGCAUUUGAAAACAUAUGGACACUUUUGGCCAAAAAGAAGCCAUUUCUGAUUCAUUUGGCUAAAGUGUGAAUUUUUCCGAAUACAGUAAAAGCCCUGUUAUGAAAUGCUUUCUUCUAUCUUAGAAUCCAUUAGACCAUGAAGCAAACUUUUUCCGUGGAUGCACAGUAAGGCAUGCGGUUUAUUCCCGAGCCCAACUUCUGAUCUGUUCUUUGGAGAAGAGCCCUCCACCUGCCCCACUGCCUGGAGGGAAUCACUGACCUUUCCCAAGAGGGUCCUGCUCUGUCCUCACUGUGAGGUAAACUGAGGAGCUCCCCAAAAGAAAGCACAUAGGAGACAGUGCUCAGGAGCUGGAUAGAGAAGUCUGUUUAAGCUGUUUAAGAAAUGUGGAGGGAUGCUAGGAACGUGUAGGAAGAAGAGGCGAGAUGAGACUCCAGGCAGAGUCAUCCUGAGUCAGACUGGAUGGCGUUUAUGGGAGAGAAAAGUAGGGACUUCCUGGGAGAGAAGUAGUAAGGAACCGAGUGACAGUUGGUGAUGGCCACCAAACAGGGACUUCACGUUCUGUGUCUGCUGCAGCUGGGCAGGCCCCCAUGGAAUCCAGGGAGAGUGGGAUCUCUAAAAUGUUAAAUUUCCAAAGCACAUCAAAAGUGAAGGAAGGCACGUUAACCUUAAAAGGAACUUACAGAGAGUGGAACCAUGAUACGGAUCAGACUCAGAUUGAAAUUGUAGGCCUGUCCAUUGACAGAUGAAUGGAUAAAGAAGAUGUAAUACAUAUGUUCAACAGGAUACUACUCAGACAUCAAAAAA
Long non-coding RNA from Aethalodelphis obliquidens (Pacific white-sided dolphin), 3242 nucleotides. RefSeq lists it as uncharacterized. NCBI's taxonomy places the organism in Eukaryota, Metazoa, Chordata, Mammalia, Artiodactyla, Delphinidae. The record is from RefSeq and is a predicted model, not a curated record. The transcript has 4 exons.